This 497-nucleotide ribosomal RNA is filed under the name uncultured bacterium. RNAcentral's name for it is "partial 16S ribosomal RNA". It matches the Rfam family "Bacterial small subunit ribosomal RNA", at positions 28 to 507 of the family's 1533-position model. The record is from RNAcentral.
GACGAACGCUGGCGGCGUGCCUAAUACAUGCAAGUCGAACGCAUAGCGAAAGGUGCUUGCCCCUUUCAAGUGAGUGGCGAACGGGUGAGUAACACGUGGACAACCUGCCUCAAGGCUGGGGAUAACAUUUGGAAACAGAUGCUAAUACCGAAUAAAACUUAGUGUCGCAUGACACAAAGUUAAAAGGCGCUUCGGCGUCACCUAGAGAUGGAUCCGCGGUGCAUUAGUUAGUUGGUGGGGUAAAGGCCUACCAAGACAAUGAUGCAUAGCCGAGUUGAGAGACUGAUCGGCCACAUUGGGACUGAGACACGGCCCAAACUCCUACGGGAGGCUGCAGUAGGGAAUCUUCCACAAUGGGCGAAAGCCUGAUGGAGCAACGCCGCGUGUGUGAUGAAGGCUUUCGGGUCGUAAAGCACUGUUGUAUGGGAAGAACAGCUAGAAUAGGAAAUGAUUUUAGUUUGACGGUACCAUACCAGAAAGGGACGGCUAAAUACGUG